UGCAAGUCGAGCGAAUUGAUGGGAGCUUGCUCCCUGAGAUUAGCGGCGGACGGGUGAGUAACACGUGGGUAACCUGCCUGUAAGAUUGGGAUAACUCCGGGAAACCGGAGCUAAUACCGGAUAACAUUUUGAACCGCAUGGUUCAAAAUUGAAAGAUGGUUUCGGCUAUCACUUACAGAUGGACCCGCGGCGCAUUAGCUAGUUGGUGAGGUAACGGCUCACCAAGGCAACGAUGCGUAGCCGACCUGAGAGGGUGAUCGGCCACACUGGGACUGAGACACGGCCCAGACUCCUACGGGAGGCAGCAGUAGGGAAUCUUCCGCAAUGGACGAAAGUCUGACGGAGCAACGCCGCGUGAACGAUGAAGGCCUUCGGGUCGUAAAGUUCUGUUGUUAGGGAAGAACAAGUACCAGAGUAACUGCUGGUACCUUGACGGUACCUAACCAGAAAGCCACGGCUAACUACGUGCCAGCAGCCGCGGUAAUACGUAGGUGGCAAGCGUUGUCCGGAAUUAUUGGGCGUAAAGCGCGCGCAGGUGGUUUCUUAAGUCUGAUGUGAAAGCCCACGGCUCAACCGUGGAGGGUCAUUGGAAACUGGGGAACUUGAGUGCAGAAGAGGAAAGUGGAAUUCCAAGUGUAGCGGUGAAAUGCGUAGAGAUUUGGAGGAACACCAGUGGCGAAUGCGACUUUCUGGUCUGUAACUGACACUGAGGCGCGAAAGCGUGGGGAGCGAACAGGAUUAGAUACCCUGGUAGUCCACGCCGUAAACGAUGAGUGCUAAGUGUUAGAGGGUUUCCGCCCUUUACUGCUGCAGCUAACGCAUUAAGCACUCCGCCUGGGGAGUACGGUCGCAAGACUGAAACUCAUAGGAAUUGACGGGGGCCCGCACAAGCUGUGGAGCAUGUGGUUUAAUUCGAAGCAACGCG
Molecule: ribosomal RNA, 925 nt
Filed under: Metabacillus crassostreae
Lineage: Bacteria; Bacillati; Bacillota; Bacilli; Caryophanales; Bacillaceae
Description: bacterial SSU rRNA
Rfam family: Bacterial small subunit ribosomal RNA
Source: RNAcentral